AGUCGUGGUUGGGAGUAAGACUGAGCUGGGUAGAGAUAGUAAGGGGCAUGAGAGAUGGAGAAAGAAAGUCACAGCUUCCAUGAGACUUUGCUCAGUGCUAUGAUCUGAAUGCGUUUCCACCAAAUUCCUAUGCUGAAAUCCUAACUCCCAAGAAGAUGGUACUACGAGAUGAUUGGAAGGUGAUUAGGUCAUGAAGGCUCUGCCCUUAUGGGAUUAGUGCCCUCAUAAAAGGGGCCCAGAGAGCUAACUGCCUUACCCUUUCCCCAUGUCAGGACGGAAUGAGAAGGCGCCCUCAUCCAAACACUGGAUCUGCUGGUGCCUUGAUUCUGGACUCUACAGCCUUCAGAACUGUGAUAAAUAAAUUUCUGUUUUUUAUAAA
This 379-nucleotide long non-coding RNA is filed under the name Pongo abelii (Sumatran orangutan). RNAcentral's name for it is "lincRNA". The record is from RNAcentral. Lineage: Eukaryota; Metazoa; Chordata; Mammalia; Primates; Hominidae.